CCUACGGGAGGCAGCAGUGAGGAAUAUUGGUCAAUGGGCUUACGCCUGAACCAGCCAAGUCGCGUGAGGGAAGACUGCCCUAUGUGUUGUAAACCUCUUUUGUCAGGGAGCAACGCCUGCUACGUGUAGCCGGACUGACAUUACCUAAAGAAAAACCAUCGGCAAAAUCCGUGCCAGCGGCCGCGUUAUUACGGAGGAUGCGAGGGUUAUCCGGAUUUAUUGGGUUUAAAGGGUGAGUAGGCGGAAUGCCAAGUCAGCGGUAAAAGCGCGGGGCUAAACCUCGUUCCGCCGUUGAAACUGGCGUUCUUGAGUGGGCGAGAAGUAUGCGGAAUGCGUGGUGUAGCGGUGAAAUGCAUAGAUAUCACGCAGAACUCCGAUUGCGAAGGCAGCAUACCGGCGCCCAACUGACGCUGAAGCACGAAAGCGUGGGUAUCGAACAGGAGUAGAUACCCUAGUAGUC
This 460-nucleotide ribosomal RNA is filed under the name uncultured bacterium. RNAcentral describes it as "partial 16S ribosomal RNA". It matches the Rfam family "Bacterial small subunit ribosomal RNA", at positions 338 to 795 of the family's 1533-position model. The record is from RNAcentral.